GAUCCUGGUUCAGGAUGAACGCUAGCUACAGGCUUAACACAUGCAAGUCGAGGGGCAUCAGUUUGGUUUGCUUGCAAACCAAAGCUGGCGACCGGCGCACGGGUGAGUAACACGUAUCCAACCUGCCUCAUACUCGGGGAUAGCCUUUCGAAAGAAAGAUUAAUAUCCGAUAGCAUAUAUUUCCCGCAUGGGUUUUAUAUUAAAGAAAUUCGGUAUGAGAUGGGGAUGCGUUCCAUUAGUUUGUUGGGGGGGUAACGG
This 258-nucleotide ribosomal RNA is filed under the name uncultured bacterium. Its description in RNAcentral is "partial 16S ribosomal RNA". It matches the Rfam family "Bacterial small subunit ribosomal RNA", at positions 15 to 263 of the family's 1533-position model. The record is from RNAcentral.